AUUGAACGCUGGCGGCAUGCCUUACACAUGCAAGUCGAACGGCAGCACGGGUGCUUGCACCUGGUGGCGAGUGGCGAACGGGUGAGUAAUACAUCGGAACAUGUCCUGUAGUGGGGGAUAGCCCGGCGAAAGCCGGAUUAAUACCGCAUACGAUCCACGGAUGAAAGCGGGGGACCUUCGGGCCUCGCGCUAUAGGGUUGGCCGAUGGCUGAUCAGCUAGUUGGUGGGGUAAAGGCCUACCAAGGCGACGAUCAGUAGCUGGUCUGAGAGGACGACCAGCCACACUGGGACUGAGACACGGCCCAGACUCCUACGGGAGGCAGCAGUGGGGAAUUUUGGACAAUGGGCGAAAGCCUGAUCCAGCAAUGCCGCGUGUGUGAAGAAGGCCUUCGGGUUGUAAAGCACUUUUGUCCGGAAAGAAAUCCUUGGCUCUAAUACAGUCGGGGGAUGACGGUACCGGAAGAAUAAGCACCGGCUAACUACGUG
This 486-nucleotide ribosomal RNA is filed under the name uncultured bacterium. RNAcentral describes it as "partial 16S ribosomal RNA". It matches the Rfam family "Bacterial small subunit ribosomal RNA", at positions 30 to 507 of the family's 1533-position model. The record is from RNAcentral.